GAUGAACGCUGGCGGCGUGCCUAAUACAUGCAAGUCGAGCGAACAGACGAGGAGCUUGCUCCUCUGACGUUAGCGGCGGACGGGUGAGUAACACGUGGAUAACCUACCUAUAAGACUGGGAUAACUUCGGGAAACCGGAGCUAAUACCGGAUAAUAUAUUGAACCGCAUGGUUCAAUAGUGAAAGACGGUUUUGCUGUCACUUAUAGAUGGAUCCGCGCCGCAUUAGCUAGUUGGUAAGGUAACGGCUUACCAAGGCAACGAUGCGUAGCCGACCUGAGAGGGUGAUCGGCCACACUGGAACUGAGACACGGUCAAGACCCCUACGGGAGGCAGCAGUAGGGAAUCUUCCGCAAUGGGCGAAAGCCUGACGGAGCAACGCCGCGUGAGUGAUGAAGGUCUUCGGAUCGUAAAACUCUGUUAUUAGGGAAGAACAAAUGUGUAAGUAACUAUGCACGUCUUGACGGUACCUAAUCAGAAAGCCACGGCUAACUACGUG
This 497-nucleotide ribosomal RNA is filed under the name uncultured bacterium. RNAcentral describes it as "partial 16S ribosomal RNA". It matches the Rfam family "Bacterial small subunit ribosomal RNA", at positions 28 to 507 of the family's 1533-position model. The record is from RNAcentral.